This 465-nucleotide ribosomal RNA is filed under the name uncultured ciliate. RNAcentral describes it as "SSU rRNA". It matches the Rfam family "Eukaryotic small subunit ribosomal RNA". The record is from RNAcentral. Lineage: Eukaryota; Ciliophora.
AUUUGUCUGGUUAAUUCCGAUAACGAACGAGACCUUAACCUGCUAACUAGAUUCUUCUAUUUUAUAGUUGAUAUCUUCUUAGAGGGACUAUGUAAUACAAAUACAUGGAAGUUUGAGGCAAUAACAGGUCAGUGAUGCCCUUAUAUGUCCUGGGCUGCACGCGUGCUACACUGAUGCAUACAACAAGUGCCUAGCCAGACAUGGUAUCGCAAUCUCGAAUAUGCAUCGUGAUGGGGAUAGAUCUUUGCAAUUAUAGAUCUUGAACGAGGAAUUCCUAGUAAGUGCAAGUCAUCAUCUUGCAUUGAUUAUGUCCCUGCCCUUUGUACACACCGCCCGUCGCUCCUACCGAUACCGGGUGAUCCGGUGAACCUUUUGGACCUGUAAGGGGAAGAUAAGUAAACCAUAUCACCUAGAGGAAGGAGAAGUCGUAACAAGGUUUCCGUAGGUGAACCUGCRGAAGGAUCA